CUACGGGUGGCAGCAGUGGGGAAUAUUGCACAAUGGGCGAAAGCCUGAUGCAGCAAUGCCGCGUGUGUGAAGAAGGCCUGCGGGUUGUAAAGCACUUUCAAUAGUGAAGAAAAGUUGUCGGUUAAUACCCGGCGACCCUGACGUUAACUAUAGAAGAAGCACCGGCUAACUCCGUGCCAGCAGCCGCGGUAAUACGGAGGGUGCAAGCGUUAAUCGGAAUUACUGGGCGUAAAGCGUGCGUAGGCUGUUUGCUAAGUCAGAGGUGAAAGCCCCGGGCUCAACCUGGGAACUGCAUUUGAUACUGGCAGACUAGAAUAUGGUAGAGGGAGGUAGAAUUUCUGGUGUAGCGGUGAAAUGCGUAGAUAUCAGAAGGAAUACCAGUGGCGAAGGCGGCCUCCUGGACCAAUAUUGACGCUGAGGUACGAAAGCGUGGGUAGCGAACAGGAUUAGAUACCCUCGUAGUC
RNAcentral lists this ribosomal RNA (464 nucleotides) under uncultured bacterium. Its description in RNAcentral is "partial 16S ribosomal RNA". It matches the Rfam family "Bacterial small subunit ribosomal RNA", at positions 339 to 795 of the family's 1533-position model. The record is from RNAcentral.